RNAcentral lists this ribosomal RNA (495 nucleotides) under uncultured bacterium. RNAcentral's name for it is "partial 16S ribosomal RNA". It matches the Rfam family "Bacterial small subunit ribosomal RNA", at positions 28 to 507 of the family's 1533-position model. The record is from RNAcentral.
GACGAACGCUGGCGGCGUGCCUAAUACAUGCGAGUAGGACGCUGAAGGAGGAGCUUGCUUCUCUGGAUGAGUUGCGAACGGGUGAGUAACGCGUAGGUAACCUGCCUGGUAGCGGGGGAUAACUAUUGGAAACGAUAGCUAAUACCGCAUAAUAGUAGAUGUUGCAUGACAUUUGCUUAAAAGGUGCAAUUGCAUCACUACCAGAUGGACCUGCGUUGUAUUAGCUAGUUGGUGGGGUAACGGCUCACCAAGGCGACGAUACAUAGCCGACCUGAGAGGGUGAUCGGCCACACUGGGACUGAGACACGGCCCAGACUCCUACGGGAGGCAGCAGUAGGGAAUCUUCGGCAAUGGACGGAAGUCUGACCGAGCAACGCCGCGUGAGUGAAGAAGGGUUUCGGAUCGUAAAGCUCUGUUGUAAGAGAAGAACGAGUGUGAGAGUGGAAAGUUCACACUGUGACGGUAUCUUACCAGAAAGGGACGGCUAACUACGUG